GUGGGGAAUAUUGCGCAAUGGGGGAAACCCUGACGCAGCAACGCCGCGUGAUUGAAGAAGGCCUUCGGGUUGUAAAGAUCUUUAAUUGGGGACGAAAUAAAUGACGGUACCCAAAGAAUAAGCUCCGGCUAACUACGUGCCAGCAGCCGCGGUAAUACGUAGGGAGCAAGCGUUAUCCGGAUUUACUGGGUGUAAAGGGCGAGUAGGCGGGCCGACAAGUUGGGAGUGAAAUCCGGGGGCUUAACCCCCGAACUGCGUGCAAAACUGUUGGUCUUGAGUGAUGGAGAGGCAGGCGGAAUUCCCAGUGUAGCGGUGAAAUGCGUAGAUAUUGGGAGGAACACCAGUGGCGAAGGCGGCCUGCUGGACAUUAACUGACGCUGAGGCGCGAAAGCGUGGGAAGCAAACAGGAUUAGAAACCCGAGUAGUCC
RNAcentral lists this ribosomal RNA (428 nucleotides) under uncultured bacterium. Its description in RNAcentral is "partial 16S ribosomal RNA". It matches the Rfam family "Bacterial small subunit ribosomal RNA", at positions 354 to 796 of the family's 1533-position model. The record is from RNAcentral.